Molecule: ribosomal RNA, 248 nt
Filed under: uncultured prokaryote
Description: partial 16S ribosomal RNA
Rfam family: Bacterial small subunit ribosomal RNA
Source: RNAcentral
CACGUAGGGGCGAGCGUUGUCCGGAAUUACUGGGCGUAAAGGGCGCGCAGGCUGUUAUGCGAGUCUGCUGUGAAAUGUACCGGCUCAACCGGUGCCUUGCGGCGGAUACUGCAUAGCUGGAGUACUGGAGAGGGAAGUGGAAUUCCUGGUGUAGCGGUGAAAUGCGCAGAUAUCAGGAGGAACACCAAUGGCGAAGGCAGGUCUCUGGGCAGUUACUGACGCUGAGGAGCGAAAGCAUGGGUAGCGAA